CCCCACCCCUGCGCUGUCUCACGACAGAGAUCCAGACCGUCCGAGAGCUGAGUCAGCGCUUUAGAGUCAGCCAAGCACUCAAAACCCGAGGAAAACAGCAAAACAACAAUAAUCAAGCAUUUAAAUUGCUUUUUAAAAGGUAAAUAUAUGCGUUUUUCUAGGAUUAAAAGCAAAACUGUGCGGAACUGAGGUGCACUGAGGCUUUCAUCAUGUAUGCAGCCAUGUGGAGGCCAUGCAGUGUUCACGCCCGCUCCCCCUCCCCCUCCCCUCGCCCUUCUCAAGCAGAGACGGCGCUGCUCACGUAGAACGCUGUGUAUCUAUUACUUGUGUCAAAUUGAUGCAACAUGACGUGUUUGUUUUUAUUGCCUUAGGUAACUAGGUGACUAUUGCGCAUGCGCACAUCGCGAUGACGAUGCUUAAACGAUAUAUCGUGCAGCCCUAAUACUAGAGGUUAUACCAGAUACCAGAUUCCCAUCUCUAUGAAUAGGGAAAGAUUAAAAUACUAGUAAUAAUACUGCCAAAUUUUUAUUAUUUUUUUUAAAUCAGUGAUAAAAUCUGAAUUAAUAGUUUAUUGAAUUUUGCUCAGUAAUGCUCAAUACAACAUGAUAUUCCAGCUUGUCAUGGCUACUGCACUUGCGCAGAUCUCCACAUUAAGGGAUGCUUUCCUCUCUAGCAUGCUGACCCUUCUCAGUGCUUCAUAAGCUGCAAGCUGAUUGGCUCUAUUAGUUAAAGGUUGAGGCGUUAUCUGUAAACAGGUAACAUAUUGAGCAUUAUGAACUCUGCUGGUCAUACUUCAAAUUGAUGCCACCCAGCAUUUCAGACUUUAGUUAAACACCAGAUUAAUCUCCAUAAAUGAAAUUUACAACUGCAAUAAAUUAACUAAUUGAGUUUGACAUCUGCUAUAACAUGCCACAAGGUGAACAAAUUUUCAUCUGCAGCAAACUGCCUUUGAGUGUGCAUUGCAGAAGAAAUCAGCCCCACUGAAAGCUAGUUAUUACAUAAACCACUUUCAUAUUAUUUUGUACCACUGUCAUAUUUUCUUUUAAAAUACUUACCAUUAAAUGCACUUAUUUGGAGUGAACAUUUUGCAAAACCUGUAUAUAUACACUAUAUUGCCAAAAGUAUCCGCUAUCUUGCAUUGCUGUAUUUAGUGAUGUGAGGUUUGGAUUUGGGAGGUUUGAAGCUACAUGAAGUUUGGAGGUGUGUAGUGAUGAACUCUGAAGCUACAUAAAGUUUGGAGGUGUGUAGUGAUGAACUCUGAAGCUACAUGAAGUUUGGAGGUGUGUAGUGAUGAACUCUGAAGCUACAUGAAGUUUGGAGGUGUGUAGUGAUGAACUCUGAAACUACAUGAAGUUUGGAGGAGUGUAGUGAUGAACUCUGAAGCUACAUGAAGUUUGGAGGUGUGUAGUGAUGAACUCUGAAGCUACAUGAAGUUUGGAGGUGUGUAGUGAUGAACUCUGAAGCUACAUGACGUUUGAAGGUUUGUAGUGAUAAACUCUGAAGCUACAUGACGUUUGGAGGUGUGUAGUGAUGAACUCUGAAGCUACAUGAAGUUUGGAGGUGUGUAGUGAUGAACUCUGAAGCUACAUGAAGUUUGGAGGUGUGUAGUGAUGAACUCUGAAGCUACGUAAAGUUUGGAGGUGUGUAGUGAUGAACUCUGAAGCUACGUAAAGUUUGGAGGUGUGUAGUGAUGAACUCUGAAGCUACGUAAAGUUUGGAGGUGUGUAGUGAUGAACUCUGAAGCUACAUGAAGUUUGGAGGUGUGUAGUGAUGUAGUGACUCUGCAGAAAGUUGGUGAACUAUGUGCACUAUGCUCCUCAGCAUCAGCUGACCCCGUGAACUCUGAAGCUACGUAAA
This is a long non-coding RNA of Astyanax mexicanus (Mexican tetra), 1857 nucleotides long. RefSeq lists it as uncharacterized. The transcript has 3 exons. Lineage: Eukaryota; Metazoa; Chordata; Actinopteri; Characiformes; Acestrorhamphidae. The record is from RefSeq and is a predicted model, not a curated record.